UACGUAGGGGGCAAGCGUUGUCCGGAUUUACUGGGCGUAAAGAGCGUGUAGGCGGCCACGCAGGUCCGUUGUGAAAACUGGAGGCUCAACCUUCAGACGUCGACGGAAACCGUGUGGCUAGAGUCCGGAAGAGGAGAGUGGAAUUCCUGGUGUAGCGGUGAAAUGCGCAGAUAUCAGGAAGAACACCAAUGGCGAAGGCAGCUCCUCUGGGACGGUACUGACGCUGAGACGCGAAAGCGUGGGGAGCGAACAG
This 253-nucleotide ribosomal RNA is filed under the name uncultured bacterium. Its description in RNAcentral is "partial 16S ribosomal RNA". It matches the Rfam family "Bacterial small subunit ribosomal RNA", at positions 524 to 775 of the family's 1533-position model. The record is from RNAcentral.